Megalobrama amblycephala (Wuchang bream) is the source of this 2245-nucleotide long non-coding RNA. RefSeq lists it as uncharacterized. The transcript is spliced from 7 exons. NCBI's taxonomy places the organism in Eukaryota, Metazoa, Chordata, Actinopteri, Cypriniformes, Xenocyprididae. The record is from RefSeq and is a predicted model, not a curated record.
CUGAUGUUUACAUCUUUAAACUGAAUAAAAAGUUGAUCACAAAAAAAUAACUGCAUAAAGAUAUUAUUUGUGACUAAUGUUUGCUUCAACCGUCUUCUUUUCAGAUCAUAAUUCGACGAAUCGUCCAUAAAAACAGCAGAAGAUGGUCGAAGAGCCACAGACAAGUUGCUGUUAUAUUGCAGUGAUUGGCUCAAAGCAGUGGCUGCAGAUCCGAGCGUCCGUGAGGAAAGAUGGGAGAUCUUCUUCAGAACGGGACGAUACGGAUGCUGUCUCAGGAGAAACAUCAUCUGACGAGAAACAGCCGAUCUGUGACACUCGUCCUUCUCCCGGGGCAUUGUGGGUAGACGCUCACGCCAGCAAAGUGCACCCUUCAAACUUUCUGUCGAUUCUGGAGUUCUAUUUUCCCCCCAAACAAAGAUUUAUACAUAUUUAUACGAGCUCAAGCGGCUGAUCGACGGGAAGGUGGUCCGGAGGAAGGGAGAGAAGAAGAGGAAGAAAAACUGGUGGAAUUGCAGAGGCUCGUCCCACAGUGCACCGCUUCACGGGUAACGGACGAGGACGGCCGGUUUGUUUGGAGUGGAAGUGUCGCCCGUCUCACGCUGAGAAUUGCGGUAAGGAAGGAAGGAUGCCAGUGUUUGGCAGCAGAAAUUGAUAAAUUACUUGCAACAAGUGGCCAAAAGAAGAAGAAAAAAAUCAUCGUCAGAUAUCUGGUAUCAGCAGGUCUAUUUUCAGUGUCGUCGUGUUGCUGUAUUUCCAACACAGAGGAAGCACCUUUACACACUUGAAAAAAAUCUUUUGUGUGUUGAAGCAACACAGAUUUUUGGGUCAAGAGCGGAAACUUCUAUUAUCGUGGCUGGAGUGUUUAGUGAGGCUGAAAAGGAUCAAAUCGCUAAAAAUCAAUGACGGCUUUGAAACCAAUCGUCCAUGUUCAGUUCCUCAAAGGAUUGUUAGGUUGGAUAAAUGUGGCUUUUUUCCUCGUCUGUCAUCUGAUACUAUCGAUGUACUGUGAAAUACGGUGAAAAAUCCCAGUCUGACUUCCAUCGCUAACACUGUGUUGGUUUCUGACGAAACUUCAUUCAUGCUGUGUGAUUUGUGCUGUUAUACCAGGAAAACACAACUUUGCAUAUGACAUGCCACCUGACGAUGAUAGUUGAGAGAGAAUAUUUGCACAAAACCUGGACAUAUCUGCACUUACCUUGGUUACAGUCGUAACCUUUUCUCACGUUUUGCUUCUGCAAACAUUCUUCCAUUCGUCAAAAGAUUUUCUCAUGUGGUUGUUUGAAUAGUUGCAUCUCUACCUUUCCCAUUGGAUCUGGAAGAAGCAUAUCUAUUCAAAAGCCAUUUAGUUCAUUCCUUUCUUGGCCUGUAAACGCAUUCAUCAAUUGUUCUGCUUUGUAGAUGGCUUUCUAAUGCUAAUCUGCCGUGUUAAAUAUCUUUUUGUUCCCCUUUCACCGUUUUGUCAUUCAGUUUAUCCAGUUUUGGUCACCCAUUUUAUUUAUUUAUGCGCCUGGCUCCAUUCAUGCGCUCAUGUAUUUUUUAUUAUGUUGUUUCACUGUCAUCCAGUGUCAACUCACUCUAUUCAGUGUGGGCUACUUGAAGGACUCGCAGGGACAAAGCGUGUACACAUUGCAGCGCUAUUCACCCCGGCCAGCUGGAUUGCCUGAAAAAAAAGGGGGGAAGAAAAAAAAAACCUUGUGAAAAGAAAUCCUCAACAAUGAACACAGAAGAAGUGCACAAUGCUAACAGUUUUCCAAAUACCACUGAUUGCUUUAAGCACAAUGAAGGAAAGCAGGCGCUUUUUGCUGAGCUCCACUUCAACAAACAACAGGCUCACAAAGGCCUCCCAACUCAGGUUUUGUUCCCAGACAAAACCUCCUCGACUGUCUAAAUGCUCCUACUGAAGGGAGACAAAGUUCUUUCAGUUAGUGCCCCCUUUUUUCCUUAGAGUAAAGCGAAGGGAGAAAAGAGAGAGGGAAAAAAAGGGAAAAUGGUCACUGGGCUGGUAAUGCUCGCUCUUUUGAGGAGCUGGCGACCUUUUCAGGCAUUUCACAGGCUUUCGUAAUAUCGAGAAAACCUAGAAAAUGCUUUUGUCAGGUAACUUAACGAGUUAUGUUUCAGUUUCAUUCUAAUCGUAUAGAUACUUCAUAUUACUGAGUCAUUUUAAGGGUCAGAGCAGGUAGAAAUAAUCACCAACAGCACAUUUUAACAGUGUAAAGGCAAACGCACACUUUCUGGGUCAAAAAUG